RNAcentral lists this ribosomal RNA (584 nucleotides) under uncultured bacterium. RNAcentral's name for it is "bacterial SSU rRNA". It matches the Rfam family "Bacterial small subunit ribosomal RNA", at positions 338 to 916 of the family's 1533-position model. The record is from RNAcentral.
CCUACGGGAGGCAGCAGUAAGGAAUAUUGGUCAAUGGAGGAAACUCUGAACCAGCCAUCCCGCGUGAAGGAUGAAGGGGCUCUGCCUUGUAAACUUCUUUUGUCUGGGGCGAAAAAGCCUGAUUUAUCAGGAACUGACGGUACCAGAAGAAUAAGCUCCGGCUAACUACGUGCCAGCAGCCGCGGUAAUACGUAGGGAGCAAGCGUUGUUCGGAUUUACUGGGCGUAAAGGGCGCGUAGGCGGCGCGGUAAGUCACUUGUGAAAUCUCUGAGCUUAACUCAGAACGGCCAAGUGAUACUGCAGUGCUAGAGUGCAGAAAGGGCAAUCGGAAUUCUUGGUGUAGCGGUGAAAUGCGUAGAUAUCAAGAGGAACACCUGAGGCGAAGGCGGGUUGCUAGGCUGACACUGACGCUGAGGCGCGAAAGCCAGGGGAGCAAACGGGAUUAGAUACCCCGGUAGUCCUGGCCCUAAACGAUGAAUACUUGGUGUCUGGAGUUUCAAUACUCCGGGUGCCGUCGCUAACGUUUUAAGUAUUCCGGCCUGGGGAGUACGCUCGCAAGAGUGAAAACUYAAAGGAAUUGACGG